CCUACGGGAGGCUGCAGUAGGGAAUAUUGCUCAAUGGGGGAAACCCUGAUGCAGCAACGCCGCGUGGAGGAUGAAGGUUUUCGGAUUGUAAACUCCUUUUGUUAGAGAAGAUAGUGACGGUAUCUAACGAAUAAGCACCGGCUAACACCGUGCCAGCAGCCGCGGUAAUACGGAGGGUGCAAGCGUUACUCGGAAUCACUGGGCGUAAAGAGCGCGUAGGCGGGAUAGCAAGUCAGAUGUGAAAUCCUAGGGCUUAACCAGAGAACUGCAUUUGAAACUGUUAUUCUAGAGUAUGGGAGAGGUAGGUGGAAUUCUUGGUGUAGGGGUAAAAUCCGUAGAGAUCAAGAGGAAUACUCAUUGCGAAGGCGACCUGCUAGAACAUAACUGACGCUGAUGCGCGAAAGCGUGGGGAGCAAACAGGAUUAGAUACCCUAGUAGUC
Molecule: ribosomal RNA, 440 nt
Filed under: uncultured bacterium
Lineage: Bacteria
Description: partial 16S ribosomal RNA
Rfam family: Bacterial small subunit ribosomal RNA
Source: RNAcentral